UACGUAGGGGGCUAGCGUUAUCCGGAAUUACCGGGCGUAAAGGGUGCGUAGGUGGUUUCUUAAGUCAGAGGUGAAAGGCUACGGCUCAACCGUAGUAAGCCUUUGAAACUGGGGAACUUGAGUGCAGGAGAGGAGAGUGGAAUUCCUAGUGUAGCGGUGAAAUGCGUAGAUAUUAGGAGGAACACCAGUUGCGAAGGCGGCUCUCUGGACUGUAACUGACACUGAGGCACGAAAGCGUGGGGAGCAAACAGG
This 252-nucleotide ribosomal RNA is filed under the name uncultured bacterium. Its description in RNAcentral is "partial 16S ribosomal RNA". It matches the Rfam family "Bacterial small subunit ribosomal RNA", at positions 524 to 776 of the family's 1533-position model. The record is from RNAcentral.